This 994-nucleotide ribosomal RNA is filed under the name Pedosphaera sp. RNAcentral describes it as "bacterial SSU rRNA". It matches the Rfam family "Bacterial small subunit ribosomal RNA", at positions 1 to 966 of the family's 1533-position model. The record is from RNAcentral. Lineage: Bacteria; Pseudomonadati; Verrucomicrobiota; Pedosphaerae; Pedosphaerales; Pedosphaeraceae.
UUAGUCGGAGAGUUUGAUUCUGGCUCAGAACGAACGCUGGCGGCGUGGAUAAGACAUGCAAGUCGAACGGGAAACAUUUGAUAGUAAUAUUGGAUGUUUCUAGUGGCGAAAGGGUGCGUAACACGUGGGUAAUCUACCGUAAAGUUGGGAAUAACUUCGAGAAAUCGAUGCUAAUACCGGAUGUGAUUUAUUUGGGACAUCCCGAAUAAAUUAAAGCUGGGGACCUUCGGGCCUGGCGCUUUACGAUGAGCCCGCGGCCUAUCAGCUUGUUGGUAAGGUAACGGCUUACCAAGGCUAAGACGGGUAGCCGGUCUGAGAGGAUGGUCGGCCACACUGGAACUGAGACACGGUCCAGACACCUACGGGUGGCAGCAGUCGAGAAUCAUUCACAAUGGGGGAAACCCUGAUGGUGCGACGCCGCGUGGGGGAUGAAGGUCUUCGGAUUGUAAACCCCUGUCAUUUGUGAACAACCGUUUAAAUUUAAUAGAUUUAAACCUGAUAGUAGCAAAAGAGGAAGGGACGGCUAACUCAGUGCCAGCAGCCGCGGUAAUACUGAGGUCCCAAGCGUUGUUCGGAUUUACUGGGCGUAAAGGGUGCGUAGGUGGCCAGGAAAGUUUGAUGUGAAAGCCCCGAGCUCAACUCGGGAAUUGCAUUGGAUACUACUUGGCUUGAGGAUCGGAGGGGAGACUGGAAUUCUCGGUGUAGCAGUGAAAUGCGUAGAUAUCGAGAGGAACACCAGUGGCGAAGGCGAGUCUCUGGACGAUUCCUGACACUGAGGCACGAAAGCUAGGGGAGCAAACAGGAUUAGAUACCCUGGUAGUCCUAGCCGUAAACGGUGCACACUUGCUGUAGGCGGAUUCGACCCCGUCUGUGGCGGAGCAAACGCGUUAAGUGUGCCGCCUGGGGAGUACGGUCGCAAGAUUAAAACUCAAAGAAAUUGACGGGGGCCUGCACAAGCGGUGGAGUAUGUGGCUUAAUUCGAUGCAACGCGAAG